This 466-nucleotide ribosomal RNA is filed under the name uncultured bacterium. RNAcentral's name for it is "SSU rRNA". It matches the Rfam family "Bacterial small subunit ribosomal RNA", at positions 26 to 518 of the family's 1533-position model. The record is from RNAcentral.
AGGACUAACGCUGGCGGCGUGCCUAACACAUGCAAGUCGAACGGGGUAGCAAUACCCAGUGGCAGACGGGUGAGUAACACGUGGUCAACCUACCUCUGUGUGGGGGAUAACUAGCCGAAAGGUUAGCUAAUACCGCAUACGAUCGUUUUGAGGCAUCUCGAGACGAUGAAAGGAGCAAUCCGCACGGAGAGGGGACUGCGUCCCAUUAGUUAGUUGGUGGGGUAACGGCCUACCAAGACUCCGAUGGGUAGCUGGCUUGAGAGAGCGACCAGCCACACUGGAACUGAGAAACGGUCCAGACUCCUACGGGAGGCAGCAGUGAGGAAUUUUCCGCAAUGGGCGAAAGCCUGACGGAGCGACGCCGCGUGUGGGAUGAAGGCCUUGGGUCGUAAACCACUGGUCGAAGGGGACGAGUAAUGACGGUACCCUUGGAGGAAGCCCCGGCUAACUACGUGCCAGCAGCCGC